Molecule: non-coding RNA, 23 nt
Filed under: Arabidopsis thaliana (thale cress)
Lineage: Eukaryota; Viridiplantae; Streptophyta; Magnoliopsida; Brassicales; Brassicaceae
Source: RNAcentral
ACGGCACUAUCGCGGGGCAAGCA